This 449-nucleotide unclassified non-coding RNA is filed under the name Hevea brasiliensis (rubber tree). The record is from RNAcentral. Lineage: Eukaryota; Viridiplantae; Streptophyta; Magnoliopsida; Malpighiales; Euphorbiaceae.
AUUCAAUUCUUUUUAACUUUAAAAAAAAAUCAUUUUAAAAGAUCAACUGAAAAAGAAAAGAGCGAAUGCUCACGUAGCAAUGAGGAAAAACCAAUCGCAAAACAUUUUCAAAUCAUUUCCAAUUCCUCCAAUCAUCAAGUAAUCCACAGAAAACAAUUCAACCUAAAUCACACACUUAUCUGUAUAGUUGCCGUUGCCGAGGCAAUUAAAAUGAGAAAAAGAAUCCAAAUCUUCCAAUGCUUUGAAAACAUUUUCUUGGCAAUCAAAUAGUUAAUUCGAACGCACAGAAGCAGCAGCAGCAAAGAAACAGAUUUCAAAUGAAGAUAGAUUGGAAAGGAAGUUCUCGAUUCCAUGCAUCAGAAGAUAUUGAAAAGGAGGGAAAGAGAGGGAAAGCAAAAAUUAGGGUUUCGAAAAUCGAAACUUACCGACAGAGAAAAGAAAAUGAGGUU